Molecule: ribosomal RNA, 117 nt
Filed under: Oscillospiraceae bacterium
Lineage: Bacteria; Bacillati; Bacillota; Clostridia; Eubacteriales; Oscillospiraceae
Source: RNAcentral
GUCGGUGUUUAUGGUUAUGAGGUUCCACCUGUUCCCAUUCCGAACACAGCAGUUAAGCUCAUACGCGUCGAAAAUACUUGGUUGGCGACGACCCGGGAAAAUAGAUCAAUGCCGGCA